Beta vulgaris subsp. vulgaris (sugar beet) is the source of this 948-nucleotide long non-coding RNA. RefSeq lists it as uncharacterized. The transcript is spliced from 3 exons. Lineage: Eukaryota; Viridiplantae; Streptophyta; Magnoliopsida; Caryophyllales; Amaranthaceae. The record is from RefSeq and is a predicted model, not a curated record.
GAUUACAAAACAAAUAGGAAAAAGAGAAAAAAAACCAUGGUCAGCUACUCGAUUAACCUUGCCUUUUUCUUCACCCUUCCAUGGCCACUUGGCAAGCAUGCCAUCACACUCCCCCCUUCUUCCUCUACCAAAAAUUCUGUCACCAAUCCCUCUUCUUAGCUUCUUGAAGCCAAAAAUUCAGAAUAUUUGCUUCAAUUAUCUCCCUCCCAACCACUGAUUUUGUAUUCCGAAUUUGACUAUAAAUGGCCAUAAAAUCCAUGACCAAGAACACCAUUAACAACAAUCUUCAUCCUCUCUUCUCUUACUUCACCACCACCUAGGAACGACCUUGCAAACACCAUAAUUUUCAGUCCCCAAUUCGCCAGAACACGUGACUCAAGGAACCCCAAAAAGAAAACCCAUUUUCUCCCCCACUCUCCUCUGUUUCAGAGUUCAAACACCACCACCACCGGCUGCCGCCGGCUCGCAGACGCCAAGACAGUCGCCUGCCACCUCGCGCAUCACUCGCCGGCCACUAGCAUGCUCGCCAGAGCUUCGCCGCGCCAACACCAGCGCAUUCUCUCUCCUUCCUCGCACUCUUCUUCUCACGUCCUCUCCUUCGUCGUGCCUGCUGCACGUGCACCACUGGCGACCCGCACCACACCGUCGGAUACCGUCGUCACUGCUCGCCGCUGCUCGCUGCCGUUCGCUGGAAUUCCUUCGCCUGGAUUUUCUUUCCCUUCCUUGCUCUUAGUAGUAGAGAUUAAAGAAGAUAAAGGAUAUUACAAGCCUCCCCCGGCUAUCAAGGUUGUUAAGAAGAAAUUCAGGUACCGAUGGUGAUAACGGGAUGGCGUAGCAGUGAGGAUUUAUUUAGUAUCUAGAUUUAUGUAGACUCUCAUGGUUUUAAUUUAAGUUAAUGCCAAACUCUGAUUAGUAACUAAGUUUCAAUUAAUCAAGACUAAUGUUGGA